CUUAUUUGAAACUUAAGAGAAUGAAUCCAGAUAGACCUUUCCGCUUAUACAUGUUUAAGGACUGUGAGCGCAGGUCACUGGUAAAGUUGUUUCACCAUAGAGAACUCUAACCUCCCCCUGUUCAUUGAAAGGUCUGUACAUAUGGUGCUCUUCUGCCGUGAGGUUUUUAAAUCAACAAAAUACUGCAGUGGAAAUGUCUUUGGUCAGAAAUUCGGCCUAAUUUCAUAUCCCCUUGGCCAUUCAUCAUCACCCAUCUUCUGAGGGGCUGUUUGACUAAAUGUGUUCUGCAGGUUGUCUGCUCAGUUACACGGCGUUUGGCAUGCAGAAUAGCCUGGAUUUGAAUGUUUUGAAUCAUUUUGAUCUCUCAUCUAAGCACAUAUACAACCUCAAGUUUUGGUACUUCUUGUAGGCUUAGCACAAUCUCCAGAUUUCUCAAUUGAGUUUUGGUAAAUAUGAUUCAGCUUUGAUGGUUUGGUCUCUUACUGGAAAAGUUUCAGUAAUUGACUCUUUCCUUGUACAUGGAUAUUACUCUACAUUUACUAGAGCAGUAGCAACAUUAAAGAUCAUUACUCCAGGUGCUGGCAAUCUUGGAAUACUAUUACUGGAAAUAGUUCAAUGAGGCAACCGAUGAAGCAGCUACAAGUUUGUUA
This is a long non-coding RNA of Coffea eugenioides, 650 nucleotides long. RefSeq lists it as uncharacterized. The record is from RefSeq and is a predicted model, not a curated record. The transcript has 4 exons. NCBI's taxonomy places the organism in Eukaryota, Viridiplantae, Streptophyta, Magnoliopsida, Gentianales, Rubiaceae.